RNAcentral lists this ribosomal RNA (550 nucleotides) under uncultured eukaryote. RNAcentral describes it as "SSU rRNA". It matches the Rfam family "Eukaryotic small subunit ribosomal RNA", at positions 9 to 562 of the family's 1831-position model. The record is from RNAcentral.
UGAUCCUGCCAGUGGUCAUAUGCUUGUCUCAAAGAUUAAGCCAUGCAUGUCUAAGCACAAGCUUACAAAAAGUGAAGCCGCGAAUAGCUCAUUACAACAGCCAUUGUUUACUUGAUCUUGAAAUCCUACUUGGAUAACUGUGGUAAUUCUAGAGCUAAUACACGCAACAAGCUCUGACCUUUGGGAAAGAGUGCAUUUAUUAGAACAAAACCAAUCGGGGUUCGGCCCGCCAAUUGGUGAAUCUGAAUAACUCAGCUGAUCGCACGGUCUUGCACCGGCGACGCAUCUUUCAAGUGUCUGCCUUAUCAACUGUUGAUGGUAGUUUAUGCGACUCCAUGGUUGUAACGGGUAACGGAGAAUAAGGGGUUCGACUCCGGAGAGGGAGCCUGAGAAACGGCUACCACAUCCAAGGAAGGCAGCAGGCGCGUAAAUUACCCACUCUCGGGCACGAGGAGGUAGUGACGAAAAAUACGAGACGGUUCUCAUUGAGCCCGUUAUCGGAAUGAGUACAAUCCAAACCUUUAACGAGGAUCUAUCAGAGGGCAAGUCU